AAUGAAUCCUUCCAAAUUCAGAGAGGCGGGGCUUCGUUUGAUUGACAGGUGGAAACGAUCACAAGUUGAGGUGGCCAUUUUCGAACACAAGCUGAAUGGCAGUGCACGGCGAUGUUGUAAUCUGAAGUGGCAUCUGUAAAGUCUCCCAGCAAAUUUAAAGGGACAUACUUCUGGAAAUACCAAUACUUCAAAGAACUGGCGGUCAAGUUCAUCUUUAGAGAGGUGUAAAACAUUAAAAAAGUUAAACCUUCAUAGUAACAUGUAUUUGCAAAUAUGUGAUUGUCAUUCAACUUUGCUCAUUCCUUCACUUUUUUUGUGCCUACUGUAUUUAUUGAUGUAGUCUUUGAGGACAGGUAUUGACCAUUGACCAAUACAAUAUCUAUAGGGCAUGUUUUUGACAGGUGUGGAAUUGUUCUGCAUGUUGAAGCGUUUUACCAGUAACGCUCCUGUGCGAUAUUGUUGACCUUGUGGUAGGACCAGAUGGAGAAAUCUGAAUGCGAGUAACCGGCCCAUGAAAUUAGAAAUCAAUACUUUAGAGACUCCGAGGUUGACAUAUGAACUCCAGGGCAUCCCCCCACUACAGCUGUAUUGGAAAAUUGUAUGUGUGUGCUGGAUGUAUUGAAGUCUGCAAACUGUGCAAAUUAAGGGUGAAAGGGACAGAUUUUGGUUGGUUGAUGAUCGCAUGUGUUCAGCACCUGGAGUAGUUCUAUAUCAUUGUGUGAUGACUAUUUUUACUGUCA
Long non-coding RNA from Branchiostoma belcheri (Belcher's lancelet), 740 nucleotides. RefSeq lists it as uncharacterized. The transcript is spliced from 3 exons. NCBI's taxonomy places the organism in Eukaryota, Metazoa, Chordata, Leptocardii, Amphioxiformes, Branchiostomatidae. The record is from RefSeq and is a predicted model, not a curated record.